AAUUAAAAUUUUUAUCCAUUUAUACGGUAAAAAACUAAAGUGGUUGACGGAAUAACCAGAAGUGUGACAUGUGGCGUGUCACGUGUAUAUUGUGCUAGUGCGCAUGGAUUAGUUUUUAACAAUAAAAAUUGAUGCAAUUUUUAAUA
Molecule: microRNA precursor, 146 nt
Filed under: Gossypium hirsutum (cotton)
Lineage: Eukaryota; Viridiplantae; Streptophyta; Magnoliopsida; Malvales; Malvaceae
Description: MIR7502 microRNA precursor family
Rfam family: MIR7502 microRNA precursor family
Source: Rfam by way of RNAcentral